This 409-nucleotide ribosomal RNA is filed under the name Hemibracon sp. RNAcentral describes it as "partial 16S ribosomal RNA". Lineage: Eukaryota; Metazoa; Arthropoda; Insecta; Hymenoptera; Braconidae. The record is from RNAcentral.
GUCUUUAAGAUUUUAAUUUAAAGUCUAAUCUGCCCACUGAGAUAUUAAAUGGCUGCAGAAUUUUUUACUGUACAAAGGUAGCAUAAUAAUUUGUUUUUUAAUUAAAAACUUGAAUGAAAGAUUAAAUGAAAUAUAAACUGUUUCAAUUAAAUUUAUUUUGAAUUUUUUAUUUUUGUAAAAAAACUAAAAUAUUUAUUAAAGACGAUAAGACCCUAUAGAAUUUUAUUUAAUUAAUUAUAAAAAUAUUUUUAAUUAAAUUUUAUUGGGGUAAUAAAAAAAUUAAAAUAAUUUUUUUUAAAAAAUACAUUUUAAUAGGAAGAUUUUUCUUAAUUUUUAAAGAUAAUAAUUAAUUACCUUAGGGAUAACAGCAUAAUAUUUUUUAAAAGAUCAUAUUAAUAAAAAAGAUUAU